RNAcentral lists this ribosomal RNA (253 nucleotides) under uncultured bacterium. RNAcentral describes it as "partial 16S ribosomal RNA". It matches the Rfam family "Bacterial small subunit ribosomal RNA", at positions 524 to 776 of the family's 1533-position model. The record is from RNAcentral.
UACGGAGGGGGCUAGCGUUGUUCGGAAUUACUGGGCGUAAAGCGCGUGUAGGCGGCCCUGCAAGUCGGAUGUGAAAUCCCACGGCUCAACCGUGGAAGUGCAUUCGAAACUGCAGGGCUAGAGUCCUGGAGAGGAAGGUGGAAUGCUUGGUGUAGAGGUGAAAUUCGUAGAUAUCAAGCGGAACACCAGUGGCGAAGGCGGUCCCCUGGGCCGGAACUGACGCUGAGGCGCGAAAGCGUGGGUAGCAAACGGG